RNAcentral lists this ribosomal RNA (480 nucleotides) under uncultured bacterium. RNAcentral describes it as "bacterial SSU rRNA". It matches the Rfam family "Bacterial small subunit ribosomal RNA", at positions 791 to 1267 of the family's 1533-position model. The record is from RNAcentral.
UAGUCCACGCCCUAAACGAUGCACACUAGUUGUUGCUAUGCUAGACAUAGCAGUAAUGCAGUUAACACAUUAAGUGUGCCGCCUGGGGAGUACGGUCGCAAGAUUAAAACUCAAAGGAAUAGACGGGGACCCGCACAAGCGGUGGAGCAUGUGGUUUAAUUCGACGAUACGCGAAGAACCUUACCUGGACUUGACAUAGAAAGAAUUACGCAGAGAUGUAUAAGUGCUAGCUUGCUAGAGCUUUCAUACAGGUGCUGCACGGCUGUCGUCAGCUCGUGUCGUGAGAUGUUGGGUUAAGUCCCGNAACGAGCGCAGCCCUGUCGUUAGUUGCUAACAGUUCGGCUGAGAACUCUAACGAGACUGCCUGGGGUAACCAGGGAGGAAGGUGAGGGACGACGUCAAGUCAUCAUGGCCCUUAGUCCAGGGCUACACACGUGCUACAAUGGGGUAUACAAAGAGCAGCGAUACGGUGACGUGGAG